RNAcentral lists this ribosomal RNA (945 nucleotides) under uncultured bacterium. RNAcentral's name for it is "bacterial SSU rRNA". It matches the Rfam family "Bacterial small subunit ribosomal RNA", at positions 9 to 963 of the family's 1533-position model. The record is from RNAcentral.
GAGUUUGAUCAUGGCUCAGAUUGAACGCUGGCGGCAUGCCUAACACAUGCGAGUCGUACGGCAGCAGGUCCUUCGGGAUGCUGGCGAGUGGCGGACGGGUGAGUAAUGCGUAGGAACCUAUCCUUUUGUGGGGGACAACCCAGGGAAACUUGGGCUAAUACCGCAUAAGCCCUGAGGGGGAAAGCGGGGGAUCUUCGGACCUCGUGCUGAAGGAGGGGCCUACGUCCGGUUAGCUAGUUGGUGGGGUAAAGGCCUACCAAGGCGACGAUCGGUAGCUGGUCUGAGAGGACGACCAGCCACACUGGGACUGAGACACGGCCCAGACUCCUACGGGAGGCAGCAGUGGGGAAUUUUUCGCAAUGGGGGCAACCCUGACGAAGCAAUGCCGCGUGGAUGAAGAAGACCUUCGGGUUGUAAAGUCCUUUCGUGGGGGACGAAAAGGCGGAUCCGAAUACGGUCUGCUGUUGACGUGAACCCAAGAAGAAGCACCGGCUAACUCCGUGCCAGCAGCCGCGGUAAUACGGAGGGUGCGGGCGUUAAUCGGAAUUACUGGGCGUAAAGGGCGCGUAGGCGGUGGGUUACGUCUGCCGUGAAAUCCCCGGGCUCAACCUGGGAAUGGCGGUGGAAACGGGCUGACUGGAGUAUGGGAGAGGGUGAUGGAAUUCCAGGUGUAGCGGUGAAAUGCGUAGAGAUCUGGAGGAACACCAGUGGCGAAGGCGGUCACCUGGCCCAAUACUGACGCUGAGGCGCGAAAGCGUGGGGAGCAAACAGGAUUAGAUACCCUGGUAGUCCACGCCCUAAACGAUGGGUACUAAGUGUGGGAGGGUUAAACCUCCCGUGCCGCAGCCACGCAGUAAGUACCCCGCCUGGGGAGUACGGCCGCAGGUGAACUCAAGGAUGACGGGGCCGCACAAGCGGUGGUGCAUGUGGUUAUCGACGCACGCG